RNAcentral lists this ribosomal RNA (406 nucleotides) under uncultured bacterium. RNAcentral describes it as "partial 16S ribosomal RNA". It matches the Rfam family "Bacterial small subunit ribosomal RNA", at positions 30 to 526 of the family's 1533-position model. The record is from RNAcentral.
AUUGAACGCUGGCGGCAGGCUUAACACAUGCAAGUCGAGCGAGCGGCGGACGGGUGAGUAAUGCUUAGGAAUCUGCCUAUUAGUGGGGGACAACAUAUCGAAAGGGAUGCUAAUCCCGCAUACCAUCAGAUGUGCCCAGAUGGGAUUAGCUAGUGGGUGGGGUAACGGCUCACCUAGGAGCCGAUCCCUAGCUGGUCUGAGAGGAUGACCAGCCAAACUGGAACGGAGAAACGGUCAAGACUCCAACGGGAGGAAGAAGUGGGGAUUAUUGCACAAUGGGAGGAAGCCUGAUGCAGCCAUGCGGAGUGUGUGAAGAAGGCCUUGGGGUUGUAAAGCACUUUCAGCGGGGAGGCGUUACCCGAAGAAGAAGCACCGGCUAACUCCGUGCCAGCAGCCGCGGUAAUUC